Molecule: long non-coding RNA, 1810 nt
Organism: Lolium perenne
Lineage: Eukaryota; Viridiplantae; Streptophyta; Magnoliopsida; Poales; Poaceae
Source: RefSeq, a predicted model, not a curated record
CAUGUUGCUGAUGGCUCCAGUAUACCUAUGAACGAGCAGAUAGAGGCAUAUGUAUGCAGCCUCUAGCUUUCCCAAGUCCAACUCUUCGGCAUUAUUGAUCCAGGCUAUGGCAUGGAGCUGAGGCGCAAUCUCACUGAUGGAGCGUGCGCCGAUCCAGUGGUCUUCCCAAAACAACGCGGUCUGGACAUUACCCACUGUCAUCAAAGUGGAAGGGAUGAAGAGGGCAUGUUCCUCUACCGAGAAUUGGAGUUCAAGGAUGCUCCAGGCUCGGUCGGUUCAUGCCGCUGCGGCUGUACAAGAGCCAACGAAGGCGGAAGGCAGGGCCGGCCUCUCUCUUCCUAAGGCUGCUCUGCCUGUCUUAAUCUAGGUUUCUCUGCCAUAUGGAGGUAAUUGGCGAGUCGAGCCUUCUUAGGCCAGUGGUGGCUGGACGUGAUGCCGGAGCUGUCCCAUUUCGUGGCGCUCGCAUAGGGAAAGAGGAGGCGGCCUUUAUGUAGUGGCAGUGGAGAAGCAGAGGUGGCCACGAGGGAGCCUUGGCUGCGGGAAAGUAUAAAACUUGUUUUGGAUAUGGAAAUGGAUAGUGCUUCUCUGAUCUUACCGAAGCUCCAAUGUUCUGCUAAAAAGGAGGGAUGUUACGCUAGCAAAAACAUAUGCUGCAUUAUGUAAGGAAUCUGUGGGGAGAAGCUGCUAACACAUUUAGAGAAGGAUGUUGUCCAGCUGCUCUUAGAAGUUAGUAGAGAGUACACUGCAACUUAGGUGAUGUUGGGUCCAUAACAUUCCGCUCUUAUCUCGAAGACCACAAGGUUCAUGCUGCCAAGCUUCAUGAACUAACCAACCGCACCAACAGUUUGAACUGAUGGAAAGAGCUAGUGCAAUCCACUCAUACAUUUCAACACAUGCAAUGGGUUGUACCUCCUUACAAGUGACCGCCAACACCUAACUUUGCACGACCGUCUUGUAGUUCCCACGAUGUUAGCUAGGCAAGUUUGGACAGUUUAAAUGAAGUUGUUUUCUUGGAAUAGUUUAAGCUUCCCACAAGCAUUUGUGUUCUUUUGAUUGAUAAAACAGAAGAACAUGUAUACAUUUUCCUGUGGAUCGGAGUAUCUUUGUUGUUGCGGUCAAGUCCUUUUUCAUUUAUUUAGAAACUGAUAUACUUGCUCUUGUACGUGUAGGUAUGCAUGACUAGCAAAAUCAGAAGAUAACUGAAGAAUAAUGGAUGGUUUUGGGCUGCAUGUCAUCGUGAAGCCAUAACCAGAAAUAACAAUCAGAAGGUCAUGACUAGAGGAGAGGGCAAUUUGGAGGAGAACAUCCAUGAGCCAAAGGUGGCCAGUCUUGCACGAUAUGCUUGCACAUCACAUCUAGGUAAUUGGCGAGCUGAGCCUUCUUUCACCACUGGUAGCUGGACGUGAUGCCGGAGCUAUCAGAUGUCAUGACGCUCCAGAAGGGGAGAAGUGGAGUCGGCCUUUAUGCAUCGACAAUGGAGGAGCAGAGGUGGCUAGGAGGAAGCCUUGGCUGCGGAAAGUAUAAUGCUUAUUUUGGACCUGAGAUUGGAUAGUGACUCUCUGAUCUGGGCAUGUUGCCUGUGUUAAGUAGCUAAUAUAUAUAUUGGCAUAAUCUAGCUUGGCUAGUGCUUGGGUUAGUUUGGUUCCUGCGGCUGCUAGCAAGUCCGUAUCAUUGCAAUGCAACUUUUUCAGUUUUGCUCUGGUCUAAUACUAUGCAUUCUCCUUUUAAUGAUUUUGCCAUAACAAACUGUGUAUCUACCGAUUAUGAUAUAAUCUCUCUGUGGAUAUGUCUUUUUGAUGUGUGGCCUAUA